RNAcentral lists this ribosomal RNA (253 nucleotides) under uncultured bacterium. RNAcentral's name for it is "partial 16S ribosomal RNA". It matches the Rfam family "Bacterial small subunit ribosomal RNA", at positions 524 to 776 of the family's 1533-position model. The record is from RNAcentral.
UACGUAGGUGUCAAGCGUUGUCCGGAUUUAUUGGGCGUAAAGCGCCCGCAGGCGGCUUGCCAAGUUCGAUGUGAAAUCUCCCGGCUCAACUGGGAGGGUGCAUCGAAAACUGGCAGGCUUGAGGCAGGGAGAGGGAUGUGGAAUUCCAGGUGUAGUGGUGAAAUGCGUAGAUAUCAGGAGGAACACCGGUGGCGAAGGCGGCUACCUGGACAGAAACUGACGCUGAGGCGCGAAAGCUAGGGGAGCAAACAGG